UACGGAGGGGGCUAGCGUUGUUCGGAAUUACUGGGCGUAAAGCGCACGUAGGCGGCUUUGUAAGUUAGAGGUGAAAGCCCGGGGCUCAACUCCGGAAUUGCCUUUAAGACUGCAUCGCUAGAAUUGUGGAGAGGUGAGUGGAAUUCCGAGUGUAGAGGUGAAAUUCGUAGAUAUUCGGAAGAACACCAGUGGCGAAGGCGGCUCACUGGCCCGAUACUGACGCUGAGGCACGAAAGCGUGGGGAGCAAACAGG
This 253-nucleotide ribosomal RNA is filed under the name uncultured bacterium. RNAcentral describes it as "partial 16S ribosomal RNA". It matches the Rfam family "Bacterial small subunit ribosomal RNA", at positions 524 to 776 of the family's 1533-position model. The record is from RNAcentral.